GCUAUCCACCGAGUCACUGGCAGAGCCCCAGCUGGAACCAGCCCAGCCUCUUCCCAGCCUUCAAUCUGAGGUUUUAAAUUAGAGGAAAAGGAAAGAAUUGGACAGUGAAAAAACUUGAAAAGCGGAAGUUGGGUUUGAAGGAGAGAAACGGUUGAUCCUCUGGAAGCCUGGGGCACGCCCUUGCUGAGAGAAGGAGGAAGUUGGUUCACUGACCAAAGCAUCACUGGAAAGAGUCAAAUGCCUGUAGUGACCAGACAGGGUAAAGUGAAGGAUGAUGGACACUUGGUUAUUCAGUGCUUACGUUAACAUCCGUGAACUCAUUUAAUCUUCCCAGUGAUUCUACAGGUUGGGUACUGUUGUAAAGUACCAGUUACAGACCCGACCCAGAACCAGACCUCUACAUCCCAGGAUUCCUGCGGCGAGGGAGGUGACCUUGACCUGCACCAUCCAGACACCCGCAAAGAGACCAGUUCCUGGAAGGAACCACCAUGUCCUCCAAUACUGCUGUCUCCAGCAAUGACUCCUCCUCCUCCUCCUCUUCUUCCUCCUCCUUCUCCUCUUCCUCCCGGCUGCACCUCACCCUGAAGCCCGAGGACCAUGGCACCAUUGUUGGACGUCACUUGAACUUCUCCCUAGAGAACUCGACCAGAAGUAGCCUGGCCAAGCUCCAAGCAGUCUCACCGGCCAGGCUGCUCGACUCCUCCUGCUCCUUGGAGAAGACACUGCAGUGCAGCUGCUCCUUCCACGGGGUCCCCACGCCCUCUGUGCAGUGGUGGGUGGGCGGUGUCCCUGUGGGUGUGAACAGUGUGGAUGGUGGCCUCCAGGUGACUUCCACCACACUUGGUCCCUGGGCCAACAGCACCAUCAGCCUCAGGGGGGAUCCAGAAAUAGUCAGGAGGCUGCACUGUGCGGGCAGGAAUCCGUAUGGAAUCCACACUUCCAGCAUCUUCCUGAUACCAGGGAAGAGCUCCGUUUCCAGCGUGUUCCUGCGAGGGCUGGUCCAGGGCACAGUGUACGGGGCCAUGGCGUCCGCGCUGCUCCUCUUCUGCCUUGUCCUCCUUGCAAUGAAGAUGUUUCGGUGGAGGGCCAAAGAAGCCCUGGCCCGCAGGAGACCAGAGUUGCUGGGGCAGCCAGAAGCACCCAACGUGUUGGAAGCUGCAACCCCACAGGCCUGGGCUGGAGGUAAGUCCCUGUGCCAGGCUGAGCUCAGCCACCAACCUGUGGGGCUGCAGGCCAGGGCCACACUGGCCCAGCAGAACCACCAGGGGCACUUAUUAGGGACCGGUUCCUACCCAGCCCCCACACAGCACCCUUGCGCUGGCAGCAAGCUCUCCAACUCCUUCCAGUGUGACGCCCGCACCAGGGGCUGCGCCAAGGUCCCUCAGAGCAGGGGAGCCCUGUGCUGCCCCUGAUGAGGACCCUCCUCACGGAGGGCGUCAGGCCCAGCCCCCAGCCCUGGGGAAGGCACUGCAGACAGACACAGGACAGUGAAGACUCUCAGCGGGGCUUCAUUACUCUGCUGGGGCUGCCACAAUAGAGCAGCACAGACUGGGAGCCUUCAAACACGGCAGUGAACUUUCCCACAUUCUGGAGACUGGAACUGGAGAUCAAGGUGUGGGCAGGGCCUGCGGGUGCCCCGCUCCUCCCUGCGUCCUCACACGGCCUUCUCCUGUGUAUCUGUGUCCUGACCUGUCUUACAGGGCACAUAGGAUUAAGACCCCCACCUGACCCCACUUUAGUGUGAUUACCUGUGUAAAUCUGUCUCCCCUGAUACAGUGGCACAGUGAGGUUCGGAGGGUUAGGGCUUCAAAAGAGAAGCCAGUUCCACCCACAGGAGAGGAUUAAAGGGCUGAAUGGAUCCCAGCCUGUGUGCGGCCCAGGGAGGGCAGGAGGCUUGCCCAAGGCAGAAGGACAGAGCGUGUGCUUCCCCCACGGCCCAAGGCUCUGGCAGGAGAAGGCAGAGCGUGUGUUGUGAGCUAGAGGGUCACCACGUGUUGGUGCCACCAGUGCCGUCCAGCCUGCACAGACUGCAGAGCAGGAGCAGACUGCAGCCCGAGCUCCAGGCCUGGCUCUCACCAGUUGCUGGACAAACCUCCUAUCCCCCCUCACCUGCCAGGCCCUGGGUGGGGACACAGAGGAGUCAGAGCCAGGUCCUGCCCAUUUGGAACUCCAGGUCCUCAGAGCCCUGGAACUGCCUGGGGGCUGGGGGGGGAGGGCUUGGCAGUGUACCUGAGCUGUGCAGACUCCCAGGGAGGUGACGGCAUUCCCCACACAGCAGGGACUCAGAGCGCCCGGGCAAGGGCAGGACAGACCAUCCCAAUGAGCCAGCUGGCCCUCGUGUAGCCAGAUCACCUGCUGUCUACUCUUAGCAAAGCUCCUGAACACAGUACCAUCAGCUGCGGCCCCAGGGUCAUGUGAGCCCUGGGCCUGUGCACCCUGCGGAUCUCCUCAUUUGUGUCCCUUCACCACGUCUCCCUGUUUCUCCUCGCCCCUGGUAACCACUGUUUUAUUUUCCAUUUCUGUGUUUGACAUUGUUGUUUUAGAUCCUACAGAUGAGUGAAAUCAUGCAGUAUUUGCCUUUUGGUGUCUGGCUUCACGUAAGAGUGUCCCCAGGUUCAUCCAGGACAAAUGGCCAGGUCCCCUCUCUUUUAAAGGCUGUGUAGUAUUCCAGUGUGUGUGUGUGUGUGUGUGUGUGUGUGUGUGUGUGUCCCUUCUUUCUGUCUCUUUCCCUUUCUUGCUCUUCCCUCCCCUCCUGCAUUUGCUCAAUUCCCACCUGACCCCAGGUGCCACACUACACAGGGCACUGCAGGGACCCGGCCCCGAUGGGCCAGCAGCCCCCAGACCAGGACAGACUUACCACGUCAGGAUGCGGGUGGGACCAGGCAUGUGUCAGAGGACACCUGUGUCGCCCUCUAGGCCAGGUCACUUCCGGCUCCUGGAGAAGCUCUGCGGGACAAAGAGGAGAGCCGAGUCCCCAGGGAGCAGCUCCUGCUCUCAUCAGCGGCUCCACCAGCGGAACAGCUCCAGCAGCAGACCCACCCUGAGAUCCACGGCAGAGAUGGGC
Molecule: non-coding RNA, 3064 nt
Organism: Ictidomys tridecemlineatus (thirteen-lined ground squirrel)
Lineage: Eukaryota; Metazoa; Chordata; Mammalia; Rodentia; Sciuridae
Source: RefSeq, a predicted model, not a curated record